UUGCCCGAUGAUUAUAAAAAGACGCGAAAGAGGACUUGAAGCUGGAUCUUUUCCUUUUUUCUCUUCUACUACUUUCUUUUCUCUAGUUUCCCUUUUCUCUGCUUUUUCUCUUUUCUCUCCUUUCCCCCCUUUUCUCUGCUUCUUUUUCUCUUCUCUCCUUUCUCUUUUCUCUGCUUCUUUUUCUCUUUGGAUAUCCAGCGUCCGAUGAGCGAAGAUUAUGAGAUAUGAGGGCAA
Non-coding RNA from Mesocricetus auratus (golden hamster), 234 nucleotides. The record is from Rfam. NCBI's taxonomy places the organism in Eukaryota, Metazoa, Chordata, Mammalia, Rodentia, Cricetidae.